RNAcentral lists this ribosomal RNA (1257 nucleotides) under Triticum aestivum (bread wheat). RNAcentral's name for it is "partial small subunit ribosomal RNA". The record is from RNAcentral. Lineage: Eukaryota; Viridiplantae; Streptophyta; Magnoliopsida; Poales; Poaceae.
AUGGCCGGCGGCGACGAGGAGGCCACGACGGCGCUGCUGCCGCCGCCAGCGGGGUCGGCGGAGGCGGAGCGCCCGCCUCCCCCGCCGGCCGACCGGCUCGGGGUCGGCUACCUCAUCUUCUUCACGCUCGGCGCCGGGUUCCUGCUCCCCUGGAACGCCUACAUCACCGCCGUCGACUACUUCUCCUACCUCUACCCGGGCGCGCCCGUUGACCGCGUCUUCUCCGUCUCCUACAUGCUCUCCUGCCUCCUCCCGCUGCUCCUCAUCGUGCUCGUCUUCCCCAAGUCCAGCGCCCCGGCCCGCAUCAACACCGGGCUCACCCUCUUCACGCUCGCGCUCCUUGUCGUCCCCGUCAUGGACGCCGUCUACGUCAAGGGCACCCCGCGCCUCUACGGCGCCUUCGACGUCACUGUCGCCGCCACCGUCAUGUGCGGCGUCGCCGACGCGCUCGUGCAGGGCGGGGUCAUCGGCUUCGCCGGGGAGCUCCCCGAGCGCUACAUGCAGGCUGUCGUCGCCGGAACCGCCGCUUCAGGUGUACUUGUCUCAGCACUUCGAGUGAUCACAAAAGCGAGCUUCCCUCAGGACCCCAAUGGGCUAAGGCAAAGCGCAAUCCUGUACUUCAUGGUUGGCAUGGUGGUCAUGAUCAUCUGCAUAGUGUGCUACAACGUGGCGCGCAGGCUUCCCGUCGUGGUGUACUACAAGAACAUCAAGCAGAGGGCUCAGAAGGCGGAGGUGGGCGGCGGCAUGACGGGGCCUGCCUGGAGGUCGACGCUGUGGAGCAUUGUCGGGACGGUGAAGUGGUACGGGAUAGGAGUGGUUCUCAUCUAUGCAGUCACCCUGUCCAUAUUUCCGGGGUUCAUCACGGAGGACGUGCACUCGGAUGCGCUCAAGGACUGGUACCCCAUCAUGCUCAUCAGCGCCUACAACGUGUUUGAUCUCAUCGGCAAGUGCCUGCCGGCCAUCUACCUCCUGCAGAACUCCAAUGUUGCCGUUGCCGGUUCGUUCUCGAGGCUCCUGUUCUAUCCCCUCUUCUAUGGCUGCCUGCACGGACCCAGCUACUUCCGCACCGAGAUCCCGGUCACCGUGCUGACCUGCCUUCUCGGGCUCACCAACGGGUACCUGACCUCCGUGCUCAUGAUCCUCGCGCCCAAGGCCGUGCCCAUACACCACUCCGAGACCGCGGGGAUCGUCAUAGUGCUGUUCCUUGUGGUUGGGCUGGUCCUCGGUUCGUUUGUUGCUUGGUUUUGGGUCAUCUGA